AUGUGAUCAGGCUCAAGCAGGUCCUGAAGGCACAAACAAGUUACUUGAGGAAGUAACUCAAAUGCCCAUGGUCUCCACUCCUGCCACCCUGCCUUCUCUCUCGUAGCCUGCACCGACGGCCUCAUGGGGAGUUCCCUAUGAUCACCUGACAGAGGAAGAGAAGACAGUGGAAUGGCCUUUUGAAGUAACAAUUACAAUGCCAACUAGGUGACAAUACUUUGAGGGGCUGGGGUAAAGUUCUCCAGAAGGCUGUGUAUGCUCUGAAUCAGCAUCCAGUAUAUGGCACUGUUUCUCCCAUAGCUAGGAUUCAUGGGUCCAGGAAUUAAGGGGUGGAAGUGGAAGUGGCACCAUUCACCAUCACCCCUAGUGAUCCACUAGCAAAAUUUUUGCUUCCUGUUCCCAGGACAUUACUCUCUACUGGCCUAGAGGUCUUUGUUCCAGAGGGAGGAACCCUGCCACGAGGAAACACAACAAUGAUUCCAUUAAACUGGAAGUUAAGAUUGCCACCUGGACUCUUUGGGCUCCUCCUAGCUUUAAGGCAACAGGCUAAGAAUGGAGUUACAGUAUUGGCUGGGGUGGUUGACCCGGACUAUCAAGAUGAAAUCAGUCUACUACUACACAACAGAGAAAUUCAGAAGCUGCUCAAACUCCAGUGCAGUCAUGGAGCCUCCAUUACCUGGGAGGCAGCCUCCAAGCAGCAUGCAGCCUUGUCAGAAACUGCACCGCCAAGGGUGAGAAUGGCAUUAGAAGCAAAGAGUGCACUUGAACUGAGUACUUUCCACAUAACCGACGCUAGGGACACCGCAGGACAUAGUUGCUGCCUCUGAGGAGCUCCCAAAUUUGCUCUCCAGAGAGGCCUCUCACCCCACCUUCCAUAGCUUUGUCUCCACUGAGUCAAAAGCUGUUAGAUCAUCUGUUUGUCCCCUGAGUGGUCCUUAGAAUGAACAGCCAAAUGGAUGGCUUGGUGGUGGUGUGUGCCAUGCCUGCAGGAAGCUCCCAAGGAAGCAAUUUCCAGCACUUUCCCCUCUGCAGCUUCCCACCAAGCUAUGCGAAAACAUAUCAAUGAUUUGACUGCAACGUCCCUGACAGCUGCUGCCCAUCUCCACGUGGGGCCCUCCAAUAACUGGAAACUUGGUCUUAAAUUUUUUAACUUGGAAAAUACAAACAAUGACGACGACCGUGAAUGUGAGUUAUUUCUGUGAUUUCUCUUUUCAUUAAAGUCCAUCCAGUCACCAGUUUGAGCCUGUCACAAAUCUGCUUCUCUCCCACACGACCUUCUCUGGCCACUGACUGCAUUUUCAAAAGUAGCCCAAGGCCAGAGAACAGCUGUUUGCUGAUUCCCUCGAGAACAAAUUGCAAAUUGUGCAUCAUCGGCAUGUGCUCUUGGCUUCUUUGAAGGAUGCGUUGAAAUGUGCCAAAUGGCAAAUGAGAAUCACAGAAUCCAGGUGUCUCCUAGUCACUAAGAUAUAACUGACAUGAAAUAAAAAGUGUAAAUUUAAAAAGUAAAAGGAGCAUCAGUCUGUAACUCCUUGAGCUGGAUUGUUCUAGAGUCAACCUGUUUCCACUGGGCACUACAUUUCCCAGGGUGUUCCGGAUUUGAGCUGACCCAAUGUGAAUUCGUGUAGGAUUUGGGAGGGGAAGUGAAGCCUCUCCCCUCUGGGGGUUACUGUUGGUUUAGAGAGGUGAGAUCCACGUGGAGGUGCCCAAGAGUUCCAGCAGGUCACUUUUCUCCACUGCACAUGCAGCUCUCCUUUCAGGCUGCUGAGCCUGCUGACCGGCAGUGAUGCCAAGCCCAGCACCGAUGCUUUGCUGUGAAUUCUGACCCGGCAGCCUUCCAGGGACUUCCCUGCCUGCCUCCUUUGCAGUCCUGCUCCAGCAGCUAGAGGAGCCCAGCUCCCCAUCUUCCCUGAAAGCAUGGACUCCAGCUUCGGGGCUG
Molecule: long non-coding RNA, 1936 nt
Filed under: Homo sapiens (human)
Lineage: Eukaryota; Metazoa; Chordata; Mammalia; Primates; Hominidae
Description: HSALNT0220798
Source: RNAcentral